Molecule: ribosomal RNA, 253 nt
Filed under: uncultured bacterium
Lineage: Bacteria
Description: partial 16S ribosomal RNA
Rfam family: Bacterial small subunit ribosomal RNA
Source: RNAcentral
UACGAAGGGUGCAAGCGUUACUCGGAAUUACUGGGCGUAAAGCGUGCGUAGGUGGUUUGUUAAGUCUGUUGUGAAAGCCCCGGGCUCAACCUGGGAAUGGCAAUGGAUACUGGCAAGCUAGAGUGCGGUAGAGGGUAGUGGAAUUCCCGGUGUAGCGGUGAAAUGCGUAGAGAUCGGGAGGAACACCAGUGGCGAAGGCGGCUACCUGGACCAGCACUGACACUGAGGCACGAAAGUGUGGGGAGCAAACAGG